UCAAACACCAGGAGAGGAUGGAUGGAAGCAAUAUUUAUCAGAAUUAGCUUUGGAAUCUCUGACUCAUAUCUGGAAUAUCAUCAGCCAUUAGCACUAGACAAAAUGUAGCCACUGACAAAUCUUCUGGGAUGCUAACUUUACAAAAAACUUCUACACCAAAGCUGAACCAAGGACAAAAUCAUUACAGGCUGGCAUCCUGAAAACAUCUACAUUAUAAGCAAACGGCACAGCCAGGAUUCAAUUUGGGAUUAGCGUGCUGACACUCCAAUGAUGCAUUGCGCCACUGGGCACAAAGUAAGCCGAGUACCCUGACCAAAGGCUCCCGAAGCAAUACAGAACUCCU
Non-coding RNA from Saimiri boliviensis boliviensis (Bolivian squirrel monkey), 343 nucleotides. The record is from RefSeq and is a predicted model, not a curated record. Lineage: Eukaryota; Metazoa; Chordata; Mammalia; Primates; Cebidae.